AACCUGGGAACUGCAUUCGAAACUGGCAGGCUAGAGUCUUGUAGAGGGGGGUAGAAUUCCAGGUGUAGCGGUGAAAUGCGUAGAGAUCUGGAGGAAUACCGGUGGCGAAGGCGGCCCCCUGGACAAAGACUGACGCUCAGGUGCGAAAGCGUGGGGAGCAAACAGGAUUAGAUACCCUGGUAGUCCACGCCGUAAACGAUGUCGAUUUGGAGGUUGUGCCCUUGAGGCGUGGCUUCCGGAGCUAACGCGUUAAAUCGACCGCCUGGGGAGUACGGCCGCAAGGUUAAAACUCAAAUGAAUUGACGGGGGCCCGCACAAGCGGUGGAGCAUGUGGUUUAAUUCGAUGCAACGCGAAGAACCUUACCUGGUCUUGACAUCCACAGAACUUUCCAGAGAUGGAUUGGUGCCUUCGGGAACUGUGAGACAGGUGCUGCAUGGCUGUCGUCAGCUCGUGUUGUGAAAUGUUGGGUUAAGUCCCGCAACGAGCGCAACCCUUAUCCUUUGUUGCCAGCGGUUCGGCCGGGAACUCAAAGGAGACUGCCAGUGAUAAACUGGAGGAAGGUGGGGAUGACGUCAAGUCAUCAUGGCCCUUACGACCAGGGCUACACACGUGCUACAAUGGCAUAUACAAAGAGAAGCGACCUCGCGAGAGCAAGCGGACCUCAUAAAGUAUGUCGUAGUCCGGAUUGGAGUCUGCAACUCGACUCCAUGAAGUCGGAAUCGCUAGUAAUCGUAGAUCAGAAUGCUACGGUGAAUACGUUCCCGGGCCUUGUACACACCGCCCGUCACACCAUGGGAGUGGGUUGCAAAAGAAGUAGGUAGCUUAACCUUCGGGAGGGCGCUUACCACUUUGUGAUUCAUGACUGGGGUGAAGUCGUAACAAGGUAACCGUAGGGGAACCUGCGGUUG
RNAcentral lists this ribosomal RNA (909 nucleotides) under Klebsiella pneumoniae. Its description in RNAcentral is "bacterial SSU rRNA". It matches the Rfam family "Bacterial small subunit ribosomal RNA", at positions 611 to 1520 of the family's 1533-position model. RNAcentral also lists the same sequence under 14 other names. The record is from RNAcentral. Lineage: Bacteria; Pseudomonadati; Pseudomonadota; Gammaproteobacteria; Enterobacterales; Enterobacteriaceae.